UGGCCUCCACCCCGACCCCCUAAGACCGGAGGCCCGCGGCGCACCACGCACCAGCUUCCCUGCCAGAUCUGCUGCAGGAAAGGACUCCAGCUUCAACCCAGAAAAUUAUUAGCAUCUCCAGGCUCUAUCUCCCAUAGAAUGUUCCCUGUAAGGUGCUGCUUCGAGAAUGCUGUCAAGGAGAGAGCUCUGGCAGCUGCUGCCCACACCUGGAAUAAGUACAAGACCACAAAUAGCCAUGGUUUAAUUUGCUGUUUCCUGAAGAGAAAGAAAACAAGAAAGGCUGUUUGCUGUCUACAGCUGGGACGUGGAUUUGAUCCCUGGUUAGGGAACUAAGAUCCCACAUGCCACGGAGCAACUAAGCCCGUGUGCCACAACUACUGAGCUCAUGUGCCUCAACUAGAGCCCGCGUGCCGCAAACUACAGAGCCCACGUGUUCUGGAACC
Eubalaena glacialis (North Atlantic right whale) is the source of this 443-nucleotide long non-coding RNA. RefSeq lists it as uncharacterized. Lineage: Eukaryota; Metazoa; Chordata; Mammalia; Artiodactyla; Balaenidae. The transcript is spliced from 4 exons. The record is from RefSeq and is a predicted model, not a curated record.